UACGGAAGGGGCAAGCGUUGUUCGGAAUCAUUGGGCGUAAAGGGCGCGUAGGUGGUUCUGUAUGUCUACCGUGAAAGCGUACGGCUCAACCGUAUUUUGUCGGUGGAAACUGCAGGACUUGAGGCUGGGAGGGGCUGGUGGAAUUCCCUGUGUAGCGGUGAAAUGCGUAGAGAUGGGGGAGAACACUCGUGGCGAAGGCGGCCAGCUAGACCAGUUCUGACACUGAGGCGCGAAAGCGUGGGGAGCAAACAGG
Molecule: ribosomal RNA, 253 nt
Filed under: uncultured bacterium
Lineage: Bacteria
Description: partial 16S ribosomal RNA
Rfam family: Bacterial small subunit ribosomal RNA
Source: RNAcentral